This 207-nucleotide non-coding RNA is filed under the name Sulfuricella denitrificans. Lineage: Bacteria; Pseudomonadati; Pseudomonadota; Betaproteobacteria; Nitrosomonadales; Sulfuricellaceae. The record is from RNAcentral. RNAcentral also lists the same sequence under 1 other name.
UAGUCGCCUCCUUUGCCAGGUGCCCUUUGCUUCCACCGCAAAUGGGUUAAACGGGAAACAGGUGCGCGCCAUUGCGCAAACCCUGUGCUGCCCCCGCAACGGUAAGCGAGUGUGGACGCAUCAACCACGCCACUGUGAACAUGUUCAUGGGAAGGCGAUGCGUCAAAACUCGUGAGCCCGGAGACCGGCCCGGCAAUUUUUUAAACC